RNAcentral lists this long non-coding RNA (400 nucleotides) under Cicer arietinum (chickpea). Its description in RNAcentral is "long non-coding RNA (CARI_LNC002131)". The record is from RNAcentral. Lineage: Eukaryota; Viridiplantae; Streptophyta; Magnoliopsida; Fabales; Fabaceae.
AAUGGAUCUUGGUGGUGGUGGAGGUGGUGGUGAAGGAGUUAAACCAGGAAUUGCUAUUGGUGGAAAAGGAAAUAAAGGUGGUGGACUUGAUGGUGGAGGUUGAAAUGGAUUAGGAAUAAGUGGUGGAGGACUUGAUGGAGGAGGUUGAAAUGGAUUUGGAAAAAGUGGUGGUGGACUUGGUGGUUGAAAUGGAUUUGGAAUCAAUGGUGGACUUGGUGGUUGAAAUGGAUUAGGGAUCAAAGGUGGUGGUGAAAAUGGAUUUGGAAUCAAUGGUGGUGGUUGAAAUGGAUUUGGAAUCAAAGGUGGAGGAAAUAAAGGGUUUGGAGGAAAAAAAAAGAAAUCUUCUUGGUCAUGUACUAAUUUUUUCAUUGAAAAAAGUUUUGAUUUUUCUAAAUUUUUC